GUGUAAUAAUAUAUAUAUAUUACAGUAGUAACUCUGUUACAUAAAGUUCUAGAUAAAUAUUUGAUUAUGACAUUAUUUAUCUAUAAGUCUUGACUAAGUCACGUGCCAGCAGUCGCGGUAACACGUGGAAGACGAGUGUUAUUCAUCUUUAUUUGGUUUAAAGGGUACCUAGACAGUUAAUAAAGCCUAAAUCAGGGACUAAUUAGCUAGAGUUUUAUAGGAGAAGGUUAGAACGGUUAGUGGAGAGAUGAAAUUCUUUGAUACAACUUAGAGACUGACAACAGCGAAAGCAACCUUUUAUGUAAAAACUGACGUUGAAGGACGAAGGCUCAAUAGAGAGAACAGGAUUAGAUACCCUAGUAUCGUGGGCAGACAAUGAUGAGUGUCAUAUAUAAGUAUACUUAUAUUAGAUAAAUAUAAAUAAUAUUUAGUGUUAUUUAUGUAUAAAUGAAAGUGUAAGCACUCCACCUCAAGAGUAACAUGGCAACAUAGGAACUGAAAUCAUUAGACCGUUUCUGAAACCAGUAGUGAAGUAUGUUGUUUAAUUUGAUGACCCACAAAGAACCUUACCACAAUUUGAAUAAAUUUCUCUAUAGUGAAAUUUACAGGAGUUGCACGGCUGUCUUCAGUUGAUAUCGUGAGAUUUUGGUUAGUUCCAUUUAAUCAACGUAAACCCUUACUUUAUUUUCUAUAUAAAGUGUUCGCCGCAAUA
RNAcentral lists this ribosomal RNA (712 nucleotides) under Porina squamulifera. RNAcentral's name for it is "SSU rRNA". It matches the Rfam family "Bacterial small subunit ribosomal RNA", at positions 401 to 1142 of the family's 1533-position model. The record is from RNAcentral. Lineage: Eukaryota; Fungi; Ascomycota; Lecanoromycetes; Ostropales; Porinaceae.